Molecule: unclassified non-coding RNA, 203 nt
Filed under: Hevea brasiliensis (rubber tree)
Lineage: Eukaryota; Viridiplantae; Streptophyta; Magnoliopsida; Malpighiales; Euphorbiaceae
Source: RNAcentral
GCGGCUCAACAAACAAGAGAAAAGUAAUAAAAGGCAGAAAAGACAAGGGCUAACGCGUCAUUUCAUAUCCGCAAAUUUCUCCCAUAUUCUUCUAGGACUCGCAGAUCUCUUUUUCACGUUGCCUUCCUCUCUUUUUUUUUUUCCUAUUUUUUUAUUUUUUUGAAGCUUCCUUUGUAGCUUUCCGAAAACGCCCAAACUUCGCC